RNAcentral lists this ribosomal RNA (441 nucleotides) under uncultured bacterium. RNAcentral's name for it is "partial 16S ribosomal RNA". It matches the Rfam family "Bacterial small subunit ribosomal RNA", at positions 338 to 795 of the family's 1533-position model. The record is from RNAcentral.
CCUACGGGUGGCUGCAGUGGGGAAUAUUGCACAAUGGGGGAAACCCUGAUGCAGCGACGCCGCGUGGGUGACGAAGUAUUUCGGUAUGUAAAGCCCUAUCAGCAGGGAAGAAGAUGACAGUACCUGACUACGAAGCCCCGGCUAACUACGUGCCAGCAGCCGCGGUAAUACGUAGGGGGCAACCGUUAUCCGAAUUUACUGGGUGGAACGGGAGCGGAGGUGGCAUGGCAAGCCAGAAGGGAAAACCCGUUGCUUAACCCCGCAGUUUGCUUUUGGAACUGUCAGGCUGGAGUGCAGGAGGGGCAGGCGAGAUUCCUGGUGUAGCGGUGAAAUGCGUAGAUAACAGGAGGAACACCGGUGGCGAAGGCGGCCUGCUGGACUGUAACUGACACUGAGGCUCGAAAGCGUGGGGAGCAAACAGGAUUAGAUACCCCUGUCGUC